MicroRNA precursor from Nicotiana attenuata, 106 nucleotides. It matches the Rfam family "MIR6152 microRNA precursor family". NCBI's taxonomy places the organism in Eukaryota, Viridiplantae, Streptophyta, Magnoliopsida, Solanales, Solanaceae. The record is from Rfam.
UGGACAGAUUAUUGUAUUCGACUGUAUUUGACUGUAUUCACGGCGUGAAACAGGGGAUUACACUAUUUUUAAACGAAAAAUGAAUCAAUUAACAUAAUAGACUCCU